Long non-coding RNA from Papaver somniferum (opium poppy), 673 nucleotides. RefSeq lists it as uncharacterized. The record is from RefSeq and is a predicted model, not a curated record. Lineage: Eukaryota; Viridiplantae; Streptophyta; Magnoliopsida; Ranunculales; Papaveraceae. The transcript has 4 exons.
GUGUUUUUUUUUUAUUGCGACGUCUGAAUCUGACCACGCCUACUGUUUUGUUUUGCAGGGUUAACUGAAACUAUGAUCGAUUGACAUGGCGUCUGUUAUUGGUGUUGCUGCUUCAUUUGCUCCAACUAUAUAUGUAAAAACAAAAUCAUUUUAUAUGGAUCAUGAGAACAGUGAGAUGUAAUUGAUAUUAACAUCAGAUGAUGUGACAAUGCAAGUUUGUCUUGCACCAAGAUGAGAUUUCGUCAAUCCAUUUUGAUAAAGAACGUAGCUCAAGUGACAGGUAUUGUCGAUGAUGCGGCUGUUGCACCUUCCCUACCCGGUUACUGGGAAUGCCAGUUUGACGUAUCCCAUUUAAUAUCUUCGCAUCCGAAAAUCAAUAAACUCGACUCCGCAUUGUUCACAAAAUUUCGGAUCUUCUUUUUCAUCUCCGAUUACUCGAUAAUUUCCACAGGCACAAAAUAUCAACGGUUAACUUCAGUUGGGCAUGGCAUCAUGCCAACAAGGUAUUGUCGAUGAUGCGGAUGUUGCACCUUCCUAGCCGGCGUCAAGCAAUAUCAAGGGGAGGCAGAUUAUAUUUGAUGCUAUUUUUUUCUCUUAGUGAUGCAGAUUGCAGACAAUGAAUAUCACUGUUUCUUGGUUUUGGUAUUUUUAUGAUGUUCCUUUUUGAUUUUCU